RNAcentral lists this ribosomal RNA (484 nucleotides) under uncultured bacterium. Its description in RNAcentral is "partial 16S ribosomal RNA". It matches the Rfam family "Bacterial small subunit ribosomal RNA", at positions 29 to 523 of the family's 1533-position model. The record is from RNAcentral.
AGUGAACGCUGGCGGCGUGCUUAACACAUGCAAGUCGAACGAGAACGGGUUAUAGCUUGCUAUAAUUGUCAGCUAAGUGGCGCACGGGUGAGUAAUGUAUAAGUAAUAUGCCUCUUACUAAGGGAUAACAAAUGGAAACGCUUGCUAAUACCUUAUACUCCUUAUUAACAUAAGUUAAUAAGGGAAAGAUUUAUUGGUAAGAGAUUAGCCUGUAUUGUAUCAGUUAGUUGGUGGGGUAAUGGCUUACCAAGACUAUGACACAUAACUGGUUUGAGAGGAUGAUCAGUCACACUGGAACUGAGACACGGUCCAGACUCCUACGGGAGGCAGCAGUGGGGAAUAUUGCACAAUGGACGAAAGUCUGAUGCAGCAGCGCCGCGUGGAGGAUGACACAUUUCGGUGCGUAAACUCCUUUUAUAUGAGAAGAUAAUGACGGUAUUAUAUGAAUAAGCACCGGCUAACUCCGUGCCAGCCGCCGCCGUAA